Molecule: non-coding RNA, 1562 nt
Organism: Gasterosteus aculeatus aculeatus (three-spined stickleback)
Lineage: Eukaryota; Metazoa; Chordata; Actinopteri; Perciformes; Gasterosteidae
Source: RefSeq, a predicted model, not a curated record
CCCCCCCCCCCCCCCGUUAGCCGGUUAGCCUGUUAGCGUGUAACGUGUGGUCAUUCGUUCUCCAAGCACGCCAUUAGUUUUUUUUUUUUUUCUAUCACUCCAACGCGAGGGAGAACAGUGGACAACUUUUGAGUGCACUCUUCUUUCCAAUAACUCAAGGUUAAAUAAAGCGCUUUUUGUAAAGACUAAAAACUCGUAUUUAUUACCGAAAACCACCAGACAAACGUUGUGAAUCUGCUGCUUCUGUUGCACACAGCCGGCGAGCAUGUUGGGGGAACAGGAGACGUCUGAUCAGCGCCAGCUGUGCUGAGUUUGAAGCAUGAAGUCGCAGCUCUCGUGGUGCUUCUCUUCUGCAUACAGUGUCAUCAUCAUCAUCAUCAUCAUCAUCAUCAUCAUCAUCAUCUGAAAGGAGCAGCAUAACACUGCAGAGGGAUUUGGUGCUGGGGGAGAAACGUGUGAAAAGGUCGUCAACAACAGCUGUUUUCCCCACUGGACCUUCCACAGUGUCCUUGAACGCACCACUUGCCCCGUCGCCCCCCCAUGGUUCAUGCAAACAGAUGCUGAUCCGAGGCACGCGGUCCAGCAGCUGGAAGAAGCGGGCCGCAGAGAUCUUGGCCUUGGCGUAGUCCGGCGUGUAAGAGGAGGCCCUGCCGAGCGCCGUGCCGCUGGUGACGAUGGCCGAGAUCACCCUGCCGGAAAGGACCAUAACCACCGAUGAAAUCCCCCGAACCUCACCGCCAGGAUUUGACUGAACAGCAGAGAGUAGACCGGGUUGACCCCCCCAUUUAUGGCAGCACCUAAGGACCCAAAGAGCAUGUAGGGCCACUCGGGUGUGUUGUACUUCAGGAUCCUGGUGACUGGGGCCGGCUCCACUGGUUCCUCCUCCUCCUCUGGGACGGCGUCCUGAGCGUUCACACAGACAAACACGCGUCAGCCGGCAGUCGGAGCCGUUACGCCAUCCAAAGGCUCGGUGCACAAAAGAAAAGAACAUCCCAACACAAGUGGUUCGACGGUCCGGCGGUGCGGUAAUUGUUUUGGACCCGCUUAUAGAAUUGCGUACCGUGGAUUUGUCUGCCCGUGACACAGAGUAGGCUCUGGGGCCGAGCUCUCCGACCAUCGGGACCGAAGACCCCGGGAUCAGAUUGGACAGCUGAGACCGGGACCGCUGGCGAAUGGAGGCUCUGCAGAAGCAAAGAAAAACAAGUCCAAAAGAUAAAUAAAGAAAUAACACCCACUGAUUUCUAUCUCUUCAGGAAGAUGAAUAUUCAGAGAGCGCAGGAACGCAUUCAGCCGCCGGUGUUCUCCGUGCACUCAUCACUGGGAGCUUGUAACAGUGGCGUUCGAGGACCUGAAGCCUCCUCUCCUGUUUGCAGCACUUGUUAGGGCCCCUGGAUGAUAGGGUCAGCUAAAUGCUCCAAAUGUCACAGUCGUUGCAGGAGGGUAAUUAAGCGAACUGAAGGUCCCAGUAUCAAAAUAACUGCUGUAAUAAAUCCUAUUUAGAUGCACAGUCAAGACCAUGGACACAGAUAUUACAGUUUUCACAAAUAAACAGAUGAAGCGAU